GGGUUGUGAGGUUAAGCGACUAAGCGUACACGGUGGAUGCCCUGGCAGUCAGAGGCGAUGAAGGACGUGCUAAUCUGCGAUAAGCGUCGGUAAGGUGAUAUGAACCGUUAUAACCGGCGAUUUCCGAAUGGGGAAACCCAGUGUGUUUCGACACACUAUCAUUAACUGAAUCCAUAGGUUAAUGAGGCGAACCGGGGGAACUGAAACAUCUAAGUACCCCGAGGAAAAGAAAUCAACCGAGAUUCCCCCAGUAGCGGCGAGCGAACGGGGAGCAGCCCAGAGCCUGAAUCAGUGUGUGUGUUAGUGGAAGCGUCUGGAAAGGCGCGCGAUACAGGGUGACAGCCCCGUACACAAAAAUGCACAUGCUGUGAGCUCGAUGAGUAGGGCGGGACACGUGGUAUCCUGUCUGAAUAUGGGGGGACCAUCCUCCAAGGCUAAAUACUCCUGACUGACCGAUAGUGAACCAGUACCGUGAGGGAAAGGCGAAAAGAACCCCGGCGAGGGGAGUGAAAAAGAACCUGAAACCGUGUACGUACAAGCAGUGGGAGCACGCUUAGGCGUGUGACUGCGUACCUUUUGUAUAAUGGGUCAGCGACUUAUAUUCUGUAGCAAGGUUAACCGAAUAGGGGAGCCGAAGGGAAACCGAGUCUUAACUGGGCGUUAAGUUGCAGGGUAUAGACCCGAAACCCGGUGAUCUAGCCAUGGGCAGGUUGAAGGUUGGGUAACACUAACUGGAGGACCGAACCGACUAAUGUUGAAAAAUUAGCGGAUGACUUGUGGCUGGGGGUGAAAGGCCAAUCAAACCGGGAGAUAGCUGGUUCUCCCCGAAAGCUAUUUAGGUAGCGCCUCGUGAAUUCAUCUCCGGGGGUAGAGCACUGUUUCGGCAAGGGGGUCAUCCCGACUUACCAACCCGAUGCAAACUGCGAAUACCGGAGAAUGUUAUCACGGGAGACACACGGCGGGUGCUAACGUCCGUCGUGAAGAGGGAAACAACCCAGACCGCCAGCUAAGGUCCCAAAGUCAUGGUUAAGUGGGAAACGAUGUGGGAAGGCCCAGACAGCCAGGAUGUUGGCUUAGAAGCAGCCAUCAUUUAAAGAAAGCGUAAUAGCUCACUGGUCGAGUCGGCCUGCGCGGAAGAUGUAACGGGGCUAAACCAUGCACCGAAGCUGCGGCAGCGACGCUUAUGCGUUGUUGGGUAGGGGAGCGUUCUGUAAGCCUGCGAAGGUGUGCUGUGAGGCAUGCUGGAGGUAUCAGAAGUGCGAAUGCUGACAUAAGUAACGAUAAAGCGGGUGAAAAGCCCGCUCGCCGGAAGACCAAGGGUUCCUGUCCAACGUUAAUCGGGGCAGGGUGAGUCGACCCCUAAGGCGAGGCCGAAAGGCGUAGUCGAUGGGAAACAGGUUAAUAUUCCUGUACUUGGUGUUACUGCGAAGGGGGGACGGAGAAGGCUAUGUUGGCCGGGCGACGGUUGUCCCGGUUUAAGCGUGUAGGCUGGUUUUCCAGGCAAAUCCGGAAAAUCAAGGCUGAGGCGUGAUGACGAGGCACUACGGUGCUGAAGCAACAAAUGCCCUGCUUCCAGGAAAAGCCUCUAAGCAUCAGGUAACAUCAAAUCGUACCCCAAACCGACACAGGUGGUCAGGUAGAGAAUACCAAGGCGCUUGAGAGAACUCGGGUGAAGGAACUAGGCAAAAUGGUGCCGUAACUUCGGGAGAAGGCACGCUGAUAUGUAGGUGAAGCGACUUGCUCGUGGAGCUGAAAUCAGUCGAAGAUACCAGCUGGCUGCAACUGUUUAUUAAAAACACAGCACUGUGCAAACACGAAAGUGGACGUAUACGGUGUGACGCCUGCCCGGUGCCGGAAGGUUAAUUGAUGGGGUCAGCGCAAGCGAAGCUCUUGAUCGAAGCCCCGGUAAACGGCGGCCGUAACUAUAACGGUCCUAAGGUAGCGAAAUUCCUUGUCGGGUAAGUUCCGACCUGCACGAAUGGCGUAAUGAUGGCCAGGCUGUCUCCACCCGAGACUCAGUGAAAUUGAACUCGCUGUGAAGAUGCAGUGUACCCGCGGCAAGACGGAAAGACCCCGUGAACCUUUACUAUAGCUUGACACUGAACAUUGAGCCUUGAUGUGUAGGAUAGGUGGGAGGCUUAGAAGUGUGGACGCCAGUCUGCAUGGAGCCGACCUUGAAAUACCACCCUUUAAUGUUUGAUGUUCUAACGUUGACCCGUAAUCCGGGUUGCGGACAGUGUCUGGUGGGUAGUUUGACUGGGGCGGUCUCCUCCUAAAGAGUAACGGAGGAGCACGAAGGUUGGCUAAUCCUGGUCGGACAUCAGGAGGUUAGUGCAAUGGCAUAAGCCAGCUUGACUGCGAGCGUGACGGCGCGAGCAGGUGCGAAAGCAGGUCAUAGUGAUCCGGUGGUUCUGAAUGGAAGGGCCAUCGCUCAACGGAUAAAAGGUACUCCGGGGAUAACAGGCUGAUACCGCCCAAGAGUUCAUAUCGACGGCGGUGUUUGGCACCUCGAUGUCGGCUCAUCACAUCCUGGGGCUGAAGUAGGUCCCAAGGGUAUGGCUGUUCGCCAUUUAAAGUGGUACGCGAGCUGGGUUUAGAACGUCGUGAGACAGUUCGGUCCCUAUCUGCCGUGGGCGCUGGAGAACUGAGGGGGGCUGCUCCUAGUACGAGAGGACCGGAGUGGACGCAUCACUGGUGUUCGGGUUGUCAUGCCAAUGGCACUGCCCGGUAGCUAAAUGCGGAAGAGAUAAGUGCUGAAAGCAUCUAAGCACGAAACUUGCCCCGAGAUGAGUUCUCCCUGACCCUUUAAGGGUCCUGAAGGAACGUUGAAGACGACGACGUUGAUAGGCCGGGUGUGUAAGCGCAGCGAUGCGUUGAGCUAACCGGUACUAAUGAACCGUGAGGCUUAACCUUACAACGCCGAAG
This 2925-nucleotide ribosomal RNA is filed under the name Escherichia coli. Its description in RNAcentral is "bacterial LSU rRNA". It matches the Rfam family "Bacterial large subunit ribosomal RNA". The record is from RNAcentral. Lineage: Bacteria; Pseudomonadati; Pseudomonadota; Gammaproteobacteria; Enterobacterales; Enterobacteriaceae.